AUGACCGGAAUAAUGGUGAGCGCUUCUACAGGCGCAAUGAACUCCCUUCUGGGUAAGCUGACCACCCUCAUGGGGGAACAGUUUGCCAAGAUGAAGAAUCUGCGAAAAGAGGUGAAGUACAUCCGUGAUGAGCUUGGCAGUAUGAAGGAUGCUCUCGGGAGACUUGCAGAUGUGGACGAGCCAGAUGCACAAACCAAGAGUUGGAGAAACACACUGCGAGAGUUGUCUUAUGACAUCGAGGACAUCAUUGAUGACUUCAUCCAAAACAUUGGGGAGAAAGACAAGAAAUCCGGGUUUGUCCGCAAGACGAUUCGACGUCUCAAAACUUCAAGGGCCCGCCACAGGAUUGCUGGACAGAUUGAAGAGAUCAAGAAACUUGUGCAUGAGACUAGUGAUCGCCACAGAAGAUAUGACCUUGAUAAGAUUAUCCCCCAAUCAAGUAAUGUUGUUGCCAUUGACCCACGAGUUAAAACACUCUAUGAAAAGGCGGCUAACCUUGUUGGCAUGGAGGGGCCAAAGAAUGAGCUUGUAGAUUGGCUAAUUGAUGAGGAGAAGCAGCUUAAGGUGGUAUCAGUUGUGGGGUUUGGAGGUCUAGGCAAAACAACACUUGCCAAUGACGUAUACCGUAAACUAAAGGGUGAUUUUGCCUUUGGUGCAUUUGUGCCAGUGUCUCAAAGGCCUGACAUUCCAAAUCUUCUACGAAGUUUACUAUCCCAACUUGGUACACACGCAUCUAUUGACGCUUGCAAUUCAGAUCUUAUUGAUGAACUAAGAGAAUGUCUACAGACUAAGAGGUACUUGAUUAUAAUUGAUGAUCUAUGGGAUGUAUCAGCCUGGGAAUUUAUUAAAUGUGCUUUCCCAGAAAAUGAUCUUGCCAGCAGAGUAAUAGUGACUACAAGAAGUCUUGAAGUUGCUACGGCGUGUUCCUCCCCUCACCAUGAGUACAUUUUACAAAUGAAGCCCCUUAGCAACGAAGACUCAAGAAAGCUAUUUUUUGGCAGGAUAUUUGGCUCGGAGGACGUUUGCCCUAACCACCUCAGAGAUAUUUCAGUUGAAAUUCUGAAAAAAUGUGGUGGCUUGCCUCUUGCAAUUAUUAGCAUAGCAGGCCUUCUAGCUAGUGAAGGUCCCAAAGAAGAGGAGUGGAAACAUGUACGGAGUUCUUUGGGCUCAAUGUCUGGAACAAAACUCACACUGAAUGGAAUGAGGCAAAUCUUAAACCUCAGUUACAAAGAUCUUCCAUCUCAUCUGAAGACUUGCCUGUUAUAUCUUGCUAUGUAUCCGGAGGACUACACGAUAAAGAGGUCCAAUCUGGAACGUCAAUGGUUGGCGGAAGGUUUUAUUAGUAAAGAAAAUGGACAAGAUGUGGAGAAAAAUGCAAGAAACUAUUUCAAUGAGCUUGUCAAUAGGAGCCUUGUUCAACCCGUAGAGUUUGAUUGUGAAGGUGCAGUGACAGAAUGCAAAGUACAUGAUAUGAUGCUGGAUCUUAUCUUGCUUAAAUGUAAAGAAGAGAAUUUUCUCAGUAUAGUGGACGGCUCAGAAGCCAUUACAGAAGAGGAAUAUAAGGUUCGUCGGUUGUCUCUUCGUUUGAAUGGUUCAGAUAAUGGAAUAUUGCUAGGAAAUAUUAGUUUGUCACAGGUUCGGUCCGUUAUGAUCUUUGGAGACUCUGGUGAAAUGCCUCCUCUGUCAAAGUUCAAGUUCCUCCGAGUUCUUUUUGUCAAGAACCACAGUACAAUGGACCUCACUGGAAUGAAUGAACUGUAUCAGCUAAGAUAUGUAAUGAUUGGUUAUCGUUUGCAGCUACCAAGACAGAUUAGAGGGCUCCAGCAAUUAGAAACACUUGAUAUAUACAAUGCCAGUAUUCCAACUGAUAUAUUUCAUCUGCCACACUUGUCGCAUCUGGAUAUUGGAUAUCAAGGUAAGCUGCCUGAUGGGAUCGGAAACAUGAAAUCCCUGAGGUUUCUUAGGGUAUUUCAUUUGAAUUUUGAAACAAACUCACUAGAUAACUACAAGGGCCUUGGAGAGCUUACCAAUAUGAGAAAUCUAUCUCUCUCCGGCAAGUGCGGAGAUGAGGAUGCCGGUGUAAGACGCAUGGAUGUUCUAUGCACUUCUUUGAGAAAACUUUGUAAGCUCGAGUCCCUGUACAUACAUAAUAUGGAAGGAUGCAUGGAUGGUUUGUCUCUUGCUCCCUACAGCCUUCAGCGACUCCAUGGCAGAGCUUUUGAUUGGCGGGGCUGUUGGUUUUCCAGGGUCCCUAACUGGACGAGGCAACUUCAUAACCUCCGUGAGUUGCAAUUCCAAGUUGCCGAGCUGCUUGAUGAUGGUGUUGGUAUUCUUGGGGGGUUGCCCCACCUCGUCGACCUUGGUUUACACGUCCGAAGAUCACCAAAACAAAUGAUUAUCAUCGAUGGAAGAGGAACAUUCCCUGUUCUAAAGCAUUUUGACAUCGGCUUGAGCAGAGCAUCAUACCUGAUCUUCCAAUCUGGGGCGAUGCCCAUGGUCCAGAGGCUGGGGUUAAUUUUCAAGAUGGAUGUACAGAAGCAGAACGGAGCCGGACCAGACGGCAUCGAGCACUUGGCUGCACUGGAAGAGGUGUCUGUGCGUAUCUCGUGCUUCAAGGCUACGGAAUCUCAAAAGAGCUGCGCUGAAUCUGCCAUCAGGAGUAUUGUCGACAGGCAUCCCGACAAUCCUCCGACUCUAGUCCGUUUUUACCAGUGGCAGUUUUUUAUGGGCGACUAA
Molecule: ribosomal RNA, 2736 nt
Filed under: Triticum aestivum (bread wheat)
Lineage: Eukaryota; Viridiplantae; Streptophyta; Magnoliopsida; Poales; Poaceae
Description: partial small subunit ribosomal RNA
Source: RNAcentral